The submitters of this non-coding RNA (81 nucleotides) gave its source as unclassified sequences. The record is from Rfam.
AAGUGUUGAGGUAGAAAGUUCUAUCACGGUGGCUAACGACCAAUAUCGGGAGGUGUGGGGUAUACCGUCCCACCAACACUU